UUGAUACUGAGAUUGGGGCUGUUUGACUUAACUGCUGCAGGAACUAAAUCAAUUAUGUGAUGUUAUUGUGGAGGCACUUCGGGAUCGCAUCGUAACUAGUCUACUUCAGGCAUCACUGGAUGGUUUAUUACGUGUCCUACUAAAUGGAGGUCCAUCACGAGUUUUCUUCCCUAGUGAAGCAAAACAGUUGGAAGAAGAUUUAGAAAUUUUAAAGGAAUUCUUUAUUUCUGGGGGAGAUGGGCUUCCUCGAGGAGUGGUAGAAAAUCAAGUAGCACGUGCUCGGAGUGUAGUAAAGUUGCAUGGCUAUGAGACACGGGAGCUGAUAGAGGAAUGUAGAUCUGGAAGUGGUGCGGAUUUGCAGGGUAGUAGUGCCAGAGGCAGAUUAGGAGCUGAUACCGACACUUUAAUAAGAAUUUUAUGUCACAGGAGUGAUUCAGAGGCCUCUCAAUUUCUGAAGAAACAGUACAAGAUACCCAAGUCUACGGCCUAAAGAAUUCAUGAAUUCUUAAAAUUCAGUUACGGCGUAAAUUAAUGUUACAUGUUCAUUUGUACUUUGUAGUACCCGUUUU
Long non-coding RNA from Pistacia vera, 569 nucleotides. RefSeq lists it as uncharacterized. The transcript is spliced from 4 exons. The record is from RefSeq and is a predicted model, not a curated record. NCBI's taxonomy places the organism in Eukaryota, Viridiplantae, Streptophyta, Magnoliopsida, Sapindales, Anacardiaceae.